This 789-nucleotide ribosomal RNA is filed under the name uncultured organism. RNAcentral describes it as "bacterial SSU rRNA". It matches the Rfam family "Bacterial small subunit ribosomal RNA", at positions 598 to 1387 of the family's 1533-position model. The record is from RNAcentral.
AAUCUCGAGGCUCAACCUCGAAACUGCAUUGGAAACUGCAUUACUUGAGUGUCAGAGAGGAAAGCGGAAUUCCUGGUGUACCGGUGGAAUGCGUAGAUAUCAGGAAGAACACCGACGGCGAAGGCAGCUUUCUGGCUGGCAACUGACCCUGAUGAACGAAAGCUAGGGUAGCGAACAGGAUUAGAUACCCUGGUAGUCCUAGCUGUAAACGUUGUGCACUGGAUGUGGGCGGAUUUGGUCCCGUCUGUGUCUGAGCGAAGGCGUUAAGUGCACCGCCUGGGGACUACGGCCGCAAGGCUAAAACUCAAAGGAAUUGACGGGGGCCCGCACAAGCGGUGGAGCAUGUGGCUCAAUUCGAGGCAACGCGAAGAACUUUACCUGGGUUUGACAUAUACCUGACCGCCGGUGAGAGCCGGUUUCUCUUUGAGCAGGUAUACAGGUGCUGCAUGGCUGUCGACAGCUCGUGCUGUGAAGUGUUCGGUUAAGUCCGGCAACGAGCGCAACCCACGCUGUUAGUUACCAUCAGGUAAUGCUGGGGACUCUAACAGGACUGCCCGUGCUAAGCGGGAGGAAGGCGUGGACGACGUCAAGUCCGCAUGGCCCUUACGCCCAGGGCUGCACACGUGCUACAAUGGCCGGUACAGAGGGUCGCCACUCUGCGAAGAGGAGCUAAUCCCGAAAACCGGCCUCAGUUCGGAUUGGAGUCUGCAACCCGACUCCAUGAAGUAGGAAUCGCUAGUAAAGGCGUAUCAGCAACGGCGCCUUGAAUCUGUUCCCGGGCAUUGUACA